RNAcentral lists this ribosomal RNA (253 nucleotides) under uncultured bacterium. RNAcentral's name for it is "partial 16S ribosomal RNA". It matches the Rfam family "Bacterial small subunit ribosomal RNA", at positions 524 to 776 of the family's 1533-position model. The record is from RNAcentral.
UACGGAGGGUGCAAGCGUUGUCCGGAUUUAUUGGGUUUAAAGGGUGCGUAGGCGGCUUCAUAAGUCCGUGGUGAAAGCCAACAGCUCAACUGUUGAACUGCCAUGGAUACUGUGAGGCUUGGGUACAGACGAGGUAGGCGGAAUGGAUCGUGUAGCGGUGAAAUGCAUAGAUACGAUCCAGAACACCGAUUGCGUAGGCAGCUUACUAGGCUGUAACUGACGCUGAGGCACGAAAGCGUGGGGAGCGAACAGG